Molecule: unclassified non-coding RNA, 263 nt
Filed under: plant metagenome
Description: partial contains small subunit ribosomal RNA, internal transcribed spacer 1, and 5.8S ribosomal RNA
Source: RNAcentral
UUUCCGUAGGUGAACCUGCGGAAGGAUCAUUAACGUAUCACCGAGGUGCGAGUGCUGUCGCUGACCCGAAUUGCUCUGCACGCACGAGUGCCACCACACACAACUAUUUCACCCCUACGUACACCACCGCGUGGGCCCCCCUAAGUCUUGUUCGGAGAGGGGUAUACGUUUUCACACAAACUGUACAUAGAGUAUAGGAUGAGUUUAUUGUUUUAGCGAACACGCAAUCAAUACAACUUUCAACAACGGAUCUCUUGGCUCUC